UUCCUCUGUGUUUACUCUGAUGUUUACGUUUGAAAACUUGAGCAAGCUGGCUAGAUAGCCCAGGCUAACAGAGUCGGCAGGAGGUCAGCGGGAGGUUAGCAGAGUCGGCAGGAGACUGGCAAGUUGAUUUCCCGAUCCUUAUAAGGGACUCAUAGCCACAUGCUAUCACCCCAAAUGAAGCACUACU
This is a long non-coding RNA of Sander lucioperca (pikeperch), 187 nucleotides long. RefSeq lists it as uncharacterized. The transcript has 3 exons. The record is from RefSeq and is a predicted model, not a curated record. Lineage: Eukaryota; Metazoa; Chordata; Actinopteri; Perciformes; Percidae.